GCGCUCGUGGGGCUGCUGGCCAGGCUAAGAGGCGGUUGAUGGUUUACGAAAACACUGGAAAGGGAAAGGUCGGAAACGCAUUCGGUCCGAGGCUGGACUCGGUAGGACUCGGGACUCUGAGAUACCUGAGCCAUUCCGGAAAUAGCUGAACGUGCUACAGCAGGGUUGGUUUUUUUUGUGUGUGUUUUGUUUUCUUAACGAAGUCGUGAACCUGCAAGACCGCGGAGCGUGUCUGGAAGGAACCUAACGACCUCAAAUAUAGCUCUUGGCAGUUGACUCGGAGGCCGCCGACGGCUUCCGGAAAUAGCCGAAGCACGUCCAGUUUGGCAACUGCACUCUCAGUAGAGAGCUGCUCGUGCAAGGAAUGGAAGGCGAAGGCGCUGCCAUGGCAACCCUAGGCGUCCGGAAACAGCCGAAGUGUCUCCGGCCCAACACGCGCGAGAAUGCUGCUCAUCUGAGUCCGGAAGCGAGAUUGUUUCCGGAAAUAUCGACCGACGCUGGCAAUUGGAGCCGUGGGGCGGCAGAGACAGAAAGAACCAGAGAGAGAGUUUGAGAACCGGAAGUAACCGAGCCUGUUCGGCUGAUUUCGGAGGGAUUUAUUUUAGCUCAGCGCAAAGACCGGGGUAGAAAAUUGGGACAGAGGGGUUGCAGCUAGAGUUCGGCAGGUAAGAGUGCUCGCCGCUUUUGUACAGGUUCAGUAAAUUACAGCCGCUUUUAACCCGACGCCCUCUUCUGGUGUCUCUGGGACUUGCAGGCAAGUGGUAAACAUACACAUUAAAUAUUCUUUAAGGGAAAACAUAAAAAGAUGGGCUAAUUGAAGGAUUAAUUUUUUUUUGAGGCAAAGGCUCUGUGCUGGAAUUAAAAGCAAGUGCUACAACUCCCAGCCUUAUGGGUUUGGGGGCUUUUUAAGGUUUAUUUUUGUUUGUUUUUCUUCCGUGUGUCUUGUGUGUACCUAGUGUCUGUAGAAGUUAGAGGAGACACCGGAUGCACUGGAAUUUGAAUU
This 1003-nucleotide long non-coding RNA is filed under the name Rattus norvegicus (Norway rat). Its description in RNAcentral is "long non-coding RNA NONRATT011857". Lineage: Eukaryota; Metazoa; Chordata; Mammalia; Rodentia; Muridae. The record is from RNAcentral.